GAGUUUGAUCUUGGCUCAGAACGAACGCUGGCGGCGUGGAUAAGACAUGCAAGUCGGACGGGAUUAUUUCUGUAGCAAUACGGGAAUAAUUCAGUGGCGAACGGGUGCGUAACACGUGGGCAAUUUGCCGAAAAGUGGGGGAUAGCUCGCCGAAAGGCGAAUUAAUACCGCAUGUGGUCAGGAAAGACAUCUUUUCGAAUCCAAAGGUGGCGCAAGCUACCGCUUUUUGAGGAGCCCGCGGCCUAUCAGCUAGUUGGUGAGGUAACGGCUCACCAAGGCGAUGACGGGUAGCUGGUCUGAGAGGACGACCAGCCACACUGGAACUGAGACACGGUCCAGACACCUACGGGUGGCAGCAGUCGAGAAUUUUC
Molecule: ribosomal RNA, 371 nt
Filed under: uncultured Spartobacteria bacterium
Lineage: Bacteria; Pseudomonadati; Verrucomicrobiota; Spartobacteria
Description: bacterial SSU rRNA
Rfam family: Bacterial small subunit ribosomal RNA
Source: RNAcentral